RNAcentral lists this transfer RNA (77 nucleotides) under Armatimonadota bacterium. Its description in RNAcentral is "tRNA-Arg". It matches the Rfam family "tRNA". Rfam says of the family: Transfer RNA (tRNA) molecules are approximately 80 nucleotides in length. Their secondary structure includes four short double-helical elements and three loops (D, anti-codon, and T loops). Lineage: Bacteria; Bacillati; Armatimonadota. The record is from RNAcentral.
GGGCCCGUAGCUCAGUGGAUUAGAGCAAGAAACUUCUAAUUUCUAGGCCGCCAGUUCGAACCUGGCCGGGCUCGCCA